RNAcentral lists this ribosomal RNA (253 nucleotides) under uncultured bacterium. RNAcentral's name for it is "partial 16S ribosomal RNA". It matches the Rfam family "Bacterial small subunit ribosomal RNA", at positions 524 to 776 of the family's 1533-position model. The record is from RNAcentral.
UACGUAGGGCGCGAGCGUUGUCCGGAAUUAUUGGGCGUAAAGAGCUCGUAGGCGGCCUGUUGCGUCCGCUGUGAAAUCCCGGGGCUCAACCCUGGGCGUGCAGUGGAUACGGGCAGGCUGGAGGCAGGCAGGGGAGAACGGAAUUCCCGGUGUAGCGGUGAAAUGCGUAGAGAUCGGGAGGAACACCAGUGGCGAAGGCGGCUACCUGGACCAGCACUGACACUGAGGCACGAAAGCGUGGGGAGCAAACAGG